AUUUAGCCCCGAUUGAAAUGAAAAUCCUUUUGGACUGGGGUUCAGUCCAAAAGAUUGCAAUGGAAAGCGGGAGGAUGC
RNAcentral lists this small RNA (78 nucleotides) under Flavobacterium aquicola. RNAcentral describes it as "Flavo-1 RNA". It matches the Rfam family "Flavo-1 RNA". The record is from RNAcentral. Lineage: Bacteria; Pseudomonadati; Bacteroidota; Flavobacteriia; Flavobacteriales; Flavobacteriaceae.